AGAGGUGAAAGCCCGGGGCUCAACCUUGGAAGUGCCUGUGAUACUGGCUGUUUUGAGUACGGGAGAGGUGAGUGGAACUCCGAGUGUAGAGGUGAAAUUCGUAGAUAUUCGGAAGAACACCAGUGGCGAAGGCGACUCACUGGCCCGUUACUGACGCUGAGGCGCGAAAGCGUGGGGAGCAAACAG
Molecule: ribosomal RNA, 186 nt
Filed under: uncultured bacterium
Lineage: Bacteria
Description: partial 16S ribosomal RNA
Rfam family: Bacterial small subunit ribosomal RNA
Source: RNAcentral